UGGGGAAUAUUGCACAAUGGGGGAAACCCUGAUGCAGCGACGCCGCGUGAGCGAAGAAGGUUUUCGAAUCGUAAAGCUCUGUCCUAUGAGAAGAUAAUGACGGUAUCAUAGGAGGAAGCCCCGGCUAAAUACGUGCCAGCAGCCGCGGUAAUACGUAUGGGGCGAGCGUUGUCCGGAAUUAUUGGGCGUAAAGGGUACGUAGGCGGUUUUUUAAGUCAGGUGUCAAAGCGUGGAGCUUAACUCCAUUAAGCACUUGAAACUGAAAGACUUGAGUGAAGGAGAGGAAAGUGGAAUUCCUAGUGUAGCGGUGAAAUGCGUAGAUAUUAGGAGGAAUACCGGUGGCGAAGGCGACUUUCUGGACUUUUACUGACGCUCAGGUACGAAAGCGUGGGGAGCAAACAGG
Molecule: ribosomal RNA, 403 nt
Filed under: Verrucomicrobiota bacterium
Lineage: Bacteria; Pseudomonadati; Verrucomicrobiota
Description: Verrucomicrobia bacterium partial 16S ribosomal RNA
Rfam family: Bacterial small subunit ribosomal RNA
Source: RNAcentral